This 491-nucleotide ribosomal RNA is filed under the name uncultured bacterium. RNAcentral's name for it is "partial 16S ribosomal RNA". It matches the Rfam family "Bacterial small subunit ribosomal RNA", at positions 29 to 506 of the family's 1533-position model. The record is from RNAcentral.
AGUGAACGCUGGCGGUAGGCCUAACACAUGCAAGUCGAACGGCAGCACAGUAAGAGCUUGCUCUUACGGGUGGCGAGUGGCGGACGGGUGAGGAAUACAUCGGAAUCUACUUUUUCGUGGGGGAUAACGUAGGGAAACUUACGCUAAUACCGCAUACGACCUACGGGUGAAAGCAGGGGAUCUUCGGACCUUGCGCGAUUGAAUGAGCCGAUGUCGGAUUAGCUAGUUGGCGGGGUAAAGGCCCACCAAGGCGACGAUCCGUAGCUGGUCUGAGAGGAUGAUAAGCCCCACUGGAACUGAGACACGGUCCAGAACCCUACGGGAGGCAGAAGGGGGGAAAUUUGGACAAGGGGGGGAAGCCUGAUCCAGCCAUACCGGGUGGGUGAAGAAGGCCUGCGGGUUGUAAAGCCCUUUUGUUGGGAAAAAAAAGCAGCAGGUUAAUACCCCGCUGUUCUGACGGUACCCAAAAAAUAAGCACCGGCUAACUUCGU